Molecule: transfer RNA, 77 nt
Filed under: Bacillus cereus
Lineage: Bacteria; Bacillati; Bacillota; Bacilli; Caryophanales; Bacillaceae
Also listed under: 2 other names
Description: tRNA-Val
Rfam family: tRNA
About the family: Transfer RNA (tRNA) molecules are approximately 80 nucleotides in length.
Source: RNAcentral
CGGCAAUUAGUUCAGAAGAGUAGAAUGCUUCCCUUACAAGGAAGAGGUCACUGGUUCAAGUCCAGUAUUGCCGACCA